CUACGGGAGGCAGCAGUGGGGAAUAUUGCACAAUGGGCGCAAGCCUGAUGCAGCGACGCCGCGUGAGGGAUGACGGCCUUCGGGUUGUAAACCUCUUUCACCAGGGACGAAGCGCAAGUGACGGUACCUGGAGAAGAAGCACCGGCCAACUACGUGCCAGCAGCCGCGGUAAUACGUAGGGUGCGAGCGUUGUCCGGAAUUACUGGGCGUAAAGAGCUCGUAGGCGGUUUGUCGCGUCGUCUGUGAAAUUCUGCAACUCAAUUGUAGGCGUGCAGGCGAUACGGGCAGACUUGAGUACUACAGGGGAGACUGGAAUUCCUGGUGUAGCGGUGAAAUGCGCAGAUAUCAGGAGGAACACCGGUGGCGAAGGCGGGUCUCUGGGUAGUAACUGACGCUGAGGAGCGAAAGCGUGGGUAGCGAACAGGAUUAGAAACCCGAGUAGUCC
Molecule: ribosomal RNA, 445 nt
Filed under: uncultured bacterium
Lineage: Bacteria
Description: bacterial SSU rRNA
Rfam family: Bacterial small subunit ribosomal RNA
Source: RNAcentral